GUCUAGUGCUGUCUCACUCCAAGAGUGAAGUGUGUCCAGCAGUGUCAUGGGGAGGAUCAAAGGUCUUGGAGCAUCUGACAUAUAAGGAGAGGCCGAGGGCUGGGAGCAUUCAGACUGGAGAAGGAAAGCUUGGGGGGAUCUUAUCCAUGUGUGUAAUGGCCUGAUGGGGGGGUGAGUAAAGAUAAUGAAGCCAGGCUCUUCUCAGUGUGCCCAGUGACAGGAUGGGAGGCAAUGGGCACUCACUGAAAUAAGGGAAAAUCUGUUUGAAUGCAGUAAAAAUAUAUCCUUUUUAGGGUGGCUGAGCACUGGACCAGAGUGCCCAGAGGGCUUGUGACAUCUCCAUAAUUGGAGAUAUUCAAAACCUGAUUGGAUGCAGCACAGAGCAACCUACUGUAGUUGGCCCUCCUUUGAGUAGGGGGCCAGAUGACUUCCAGAGUUCCCUUCCAACAUGAAUACUUUUGUUAAAUUAAUCAGAAAGAAAUUGCUUAUUGUUUAUCUGUUCUGUUUACUCUUUCAUCCUGACUGAUGGUGGACACUGUUAAUGUAACUCUGGUGUCCAGGAGUUAGUUAUGUUUAAAGACAAGCAUAUGCAUCAAACAAAUGCUUUUUUCCAACAUGUUGUGUAUGGUGCACUUAAACUCUAGGGUUCUUUCAUUCCUAAAAGCUGAGUAUAUGCUUGUUUCAUUGAGAGCUUCAGAAAUUAGUGUGUCCAGCACACUGAAGUGCUCCACAGGCACAUGUCUACGUGCAGAAAGCACAGCACUGUUGCAUGGGGUGACUUCAGGCACAGGUGUUUGUCUGCCCUUGGGAAAUUCUAGUUUUAUCACCAGAGGACAUGAUGAAUUCCCAUCCAACAGCACUCUGCCUAUUGCUGAGCGAAGUAGGCAAGGCAGGGCUUCAGAGACUGCCAGCCCCACGAUGAGCACAAAGGGGUUUUCUCCUACGUUCUGUUGAACUAUUUCUGCCUGUAUCUGUAAUUAAAAUAUGAAAGCUUUUAGAAAUGUUUGUUGCUUGUAAACUGCAGCUGCCAAGAGUCAGAGCAGAAGGUAAAUGGUUAAAUAAAAGGGGUAAUAUUUAAGGUCUGUAUUUCAGAACCAGCUAAUGUUUCAUCUUGAGCCUGUAAUCAGCAGCAACCGUGAGGGAGAGAGAAUAUGAACAUUAUUAUUUUAGUAUAAAAACCUAGUUCUGAAUAAACCCUUUCUUGCAGAUGUGUUUCUGGGCACCAACAGAAAAUCUCAUUGUGAAGACACAAUACCAUUUUAGUAUGCAGGAUUGCCAUUGAGAGUGCACUGUGGAAAGGAGUGAUUUGCUUCAGUAAAGAAGUCUUACCUUGGGAAAAGAAGCUUCUCCACUUGGUUCUGAUUUUAAUCACAGAAUCACAGAGUAAACUGAGUUGGAAGGGUCUCCUACUACUUUAGAAUCAUCUGCUACAAUUCCUGGCCCAGCACAGGACCCUCUCCAAGAGCUAUGUUGUGUGGCCAAGAGUAGCUGCUAUUCUGAAAUAUUACAGAAAGGGUGGCUAUGAGGAGGAAACAGCAAGAAGUUUGGAGGACAGGAUUAGGAUAAACAUGCUGGAGAAACAGUCUACAAAAAUGUUGGAGAAAUUUACUAAGGACUUUUGCAGUCUGCUACCCUUUGGAAUAAUUAUCUGCAUAAUCACAAGAUGAAGGAACUCUUGCUUAGAAAAUACUGAAGAAAAGCUUAUGGCAACUGUAUUGGAUACUACAUUAAAUAUGAAACCACACUGUUCUGCUGUUUAAAAAUAAUUUAUAAAUAGCAUUACAUUAUGUCAUGUAUAAUAGAAUAUUGGCAGAACUUACAUAUCAUGUUUGGGGCACUGAAUUUAAAGAAAAAUGGGAUAAACAGCAGAAUCAAAAAGGUAAGAAAAGUAGAGGAGGAAAGAGCACUUACAAGGCCUACUGAGAGCAGGAGAAGAGGCAAGUUAAUUUGCAUUGAGAGAUAUUCAGGCUAGAUGUUAGAAAAUUACUUUUUUGAAAGUGAGGGAGGGAGGUAACCUCAUUUAAUGCCUGGGGAAUGUUGCAGAGAUCUCUGCUGCUGGAAGCCUCUUAGCGAAGCUAUGUGGAUUUCUCUAGCAGAAGUGAUUGGUUUUACCAGAUAUUACAUGACCUGUUGAGACCUUCUUAAUGUAUUGUCUUGCUUUCUGGAAAGUUUUAUUUGAAGAAAAAAAACCCCAAGCAACCCAGAGCAAAAAAAUCCGUCUACGAUUCAACCAAAAUUUUUAUAGAGCAGUAUUCCUCAGUAAUAUGUAGUGUGGCCUUUUAAUAUGAGAUUGCUUCUGGGAUUUCUUACUCAUCUGUUUACCAAUUACUAUCAUUAUUCUGAUCAUUUUUCCUAGUGGAAAGCAGAACAAAAACCUACCCUACAUCAUGAGUUUUCUUACGGGAAUUGUCAAAAGUAUCAUUCAUUUGGGAAAUCUAAAUGCUGAGUGCUUUCCUCGGACUUCUCUGGAGUGUGUCAUACAGUGUUUUACUCUAGUCUUUCAGAAAACAAUGCAACAUUAAAGAAGUGC
Molecule: long non-coding RNA, 2530 nt
Organism: Prinia subflava (tawny-flanked prinia)
Lineage: Eukaryota; Metazoa; Chordata; Aves; Passeriformes; Cisticolidae
Exons: 3
Source: RefSeq, a predicted model, not a curated record